UCGUGUAAAAAGCUUUGUUCGGUUGAGCUGGUAUUGGCGGGUAUUGUGGUAUAAUCCACGAGUGUUAUCUCGAUGUGGAUGAAAUACUAGCCCGUGACAAAAGUGGUGUUCGUUUGGCCCACGCUUGUUUCCAAACCAUGGCCAAUCCCCAUGAAAGUCGUCUAUCCCAGCCUGGAAUCAAUCCACGAAUGAACAGUUGUGGAACUCAUCCCGGCCAACGGCGUAGAAGCAAUGACGGCGACACGAUUUGGAGGAAGUGACGGCGGCGACACAAGGCCCCUUCCACUGAUGUAUGCCCUCUUCGUUGGCGAUCUUCUCUCGUGUGAGUUCGCCAUUCCUCUGCUUUCUUAUUUUCUCCUCUCCCAUGUCUAUGUCCUAGGGUUUGGGUUUCUUGCCCGCGACGGCCACAACCGCCCAAAGAGAUGGUAGCUCACUCGUCCCUACCGAGACGUGUCGGAUGGCGUUCUGUAGGGCAGAGGCAACCUUCAGCGAGGUCGAGGAGAAGAGACUAGGCUGGGCGGCUUGGAUACUGAACUGCACCAUGGCAUCGUUCGACGAGGCAGUGAUGAGGGAGUCGUUGGAGCGGUGGGUCUGGGAAUCGGACUUCAGAUACAUGGGCUACUUGUCCUCUGCUGGCAGCACAAGGCUGGUCAUAGAAAGUUUGCCAUUGCAAGGAUAUGUGGUUUCCUUUGUCAGUAAGAUCUAGUCUUUGAGUUUCAGAGUUUCAGUGUUAGUUUUCGUCAGUUUCGUCAGUCACUGAUUGUGCCUUGGAAUCGAUCACGUCGCGUGUCGGCAAAAUUGUAGCCAUGACAGGGUACUUACUUACCUCUGGCAGACAGAGUGCCCAUGCGUGGUUGUUUGGUGGCUUAAUGUCACCAAGAAACUAGCUUAUUGCAAAGAAAUAUAAAUUCACGAAAGAAACAGUAGCCACCUGAUGACAACUAAGCUGAUAACAUGGUUUCCAUAGUCUCACAUAGGGACUGUCAAUUAAAUCGCUAAUGCCUGGACUAAAGGAUAGCAUCAGUUCAUGCACUGCCAGACAGUUUUCUAGCGGUGAGAUCCAAAACUUAUGUCCAGACAAUAUCUGAUUCUUGAUUAGACACAAAGUUGAACAUUCAUUGAUUGCCAAAUUCGUUCUGCUUAGGUAUCCAAUUAACAUAAUCGAUCAUUAACUCACCGUGAUGUGAAUUUGGCACAAUUUGUUUUUGCAACAGUUCUGUUCAAUGGACCAUUUUGAUUUGCAAGCCUUUGGUCUAUUAACACCUGUGCAAAAUCCACCAACAACAACAGGAUUGUGCUAUAUUUGAUAAGUUCAAGAUGCUCGUGCAGGUAGAGUCGUCGCCAUCGUCUUCUUCUUGGGAAAAAUCUGUUAUUGGCUUUGUAUAUUGAUAAGAAAACAACUACAACGCACCAAUAGUGUGCUGGGAACUAUGUACAUUUUCUGUUGGGGAGAACUAGCGAUGUUAUUCAUCCUAUUGCAAGCUGUUGCUUUGGCCGACCUGCCUUUUUGUUGUUACUUUGUGCACUUCUGCUUAUCUGCUUUUCACGGACUUGUAAUUCCCAGUCUUUCAUAUACAUUCCUUCCUUUGUCUUUUGUACGUUUUUAAAUUCUUGCAUUUUAAAGAGUGCCUUAGUUCCUAGUUGCAUGUGCAUGUUGGGUUGCUCUUGUGGGUUGUGGCAUAGAGAUGGGGAAUUGCUUCUGUCGGAGAGAAAAUUCUCCGGCCAGGUGGCGGAAUGCACCCUCCCUAAAUCCUAAGAUGAGGAGGGGCCUAAGCGUUUUGCCCGUCUGCUAAGCGAUGAAUGAACACAAGAACACACAAGGGUUUAGAGUAGUUCGGGCCGUCAGAGCGUAAUACCCUACUCCACUGUGUGAUGUAUUGAGCUUGAGAGCUUGUAUGAACUUGUGAGCUUGAGCUAGGUCUAAGUCAGCUUGAGUUGUAAUGUUGCGUGCCUCCCCUUUUAUAGCUAAAGGGGGGCACACACAAGGGUGCUGAGCCCCGACAUGCGGGCCCAGGGACAUAACGGAUGUAAUACUUGGAGCAACUAAUGCCAGUCGCCAGUGCAUUCUCCUUGCACCCUGAUAUCCGCAGCCUGUGUAGUAUUGUCGUGCAGCGGAAGCUUCACUGGCAACGUAUCGAGUGAUGAUGAGCACAGUGUAUGCCGUAGCAUGGGCGUACAACCUGCCACCGGAACGGACGGGCACGCCGCCUGCAGGAUGGCCUGGCCGCCGCCCGUAAGCAGAGUGGACAGGGCACAUUAAAUGCUGAGGCGGCACAUCGCUCGUCAGUGGAGUAGACAGGGCGUAUUUAAUGCUGAGGCGGCACAUCACCUGCCAGCUUGAUAGGCGGCGUGCCUCCUCCGCAAUAAAUACGCGGCCCAGAGGCCUUACGUCUGGCUCCGCCCACCGGCUUACGUCACGGGCAGUAAGCCACGUGGCAGCAUCGGGUCUCCGCCUGAGCGGGGAGUGGGAGCGCUCGUGGUAUGGUCCGGACACGUGUCAGCACCGGACCCCCGCCUGGCCUUGAUUAAGGCCUGGGUACGCUUUGCCUUGGAAUCCCGAGACCCCACUGUGAGUAGCCCGGACCUCUCCUGAGUGGUUCGGGACCCAUUCCAGGGUCUGGUUUGUACCUGUGGCGGUCUUGAACCUCACCCGAAGGACCGGACUGUGCAUCCAGGGGUCUGGCACUUUCCCGUGGGGGUCCGGACCCACCGUCGCCACCUCGGAGUAUAUCUUCUCCUCUGGCCACGUGGCGGCCCUGGAGCCGCCACGUGGAAGGGUCAGGUGCUGUUCACCACGCAACUAGAGAUAGUCGCGCGGGCACCGUAUCUUCAUAUUGUAGUAAGGGGUACCUCUUAUUCAGGGUACCGACAGCUUCCUUGCAAUGUUUAGCCUAUAUAUGGUUGCCCGAAAGAAAGGAGGAUUGUACUGUAAUUAUUAUUUCUACAGAUUAAAUAUUACUAAUUUCAAUAUUCUACUUUCCUUAUAGAUUGUACUCGUACCGGUUAGAGUUGGAGAAGACCAACCUCCACUUCCUAGGUUAAUUACUAGCCUGCAAGCAUGCUUGGGCAUUUCCUUAUGCUAUGAUAGUCACUAACUCGAUGCUUGAGCAUUUCCUAUUUUCACUUAAAAAACUAUGUGACACAAGGAUAAAAGUUGAGGAGAAGCUCGACUUCUUUCUAUACAUGAUAAGCCAUAACGCUUCAUUUGAGGAUCUGCAAGAAGAGUUUGGGCAUAGUAGUGACACAUUCCACCAUCAUAUAAAACAUUUUUUUGACAUAGUUGUCCCUUCCCUUGCCAAACAAUUUUUGAAGCCUCCUUCUCCAAUUCAAGUACAUCCGAAAAUUGAAAGAAAUCCUAGGUUCUAUCCUUACUUCAAGGUGAUGGCAUUUCUAUCCUUGCCCAAUAUCUAUUCAUUUUCUUCCAAAUUUUAAAAAUUCACAUAUAGUUUUCUUGUGCAGAACUGCAUCGGUGCAAUUGAUGGCACUCAUGUGCCCAUUACAAUUUCACCUGACAAAGCUGCUCCUUUUAGAAACAGGAAGGGAACUCUCAAUCAAGAAGUGCAUAUCCAUUAUUGGUACAAUGGAAGUUACAAAGGAGGAAAAAGCGAAAGCCUACAAUGUCUUCAAGGACCUUGACAAUAGGCAAAUUUUCUUGAGUGCAUGCGAUGAUGAUGCCGAGUCUGCACUAAUUUGGCUGAGAAACGAGAUGGCUUAGCUGGUAUGCUCUCUUCCUUUCCCUCUUCUCUUCCCACUAACUUUUCGAGGCUUGCAUCUCUUCCUAGGUUGAUUACUAGCCUGCAAGAAUGCUUGAGCAUUUCCUUCUGCUAUGCAGUCACUAACUAGAUGCUUGAACAUUUCCUAUUUUCUCUUAAAAAUCUAUUUGAACACCAUACUAAUAAUGAACUGCUUAUGGUUUAUUUGAGCAUUUCCUAUUUUCCCUUAUGGUUUAUUUCCUAUUUUCCUAUUUCAAUUACAAGAAAAGCACAUUCCUUUUAUGAACUGCUUCAUUUUUAUGUGAUUUAACUCGAAAAUACUAAUCUGGUCUCGCAUGUUUAUGUUUGAUAUGAAAUUACUAAAAUGUGUGGAGAAAUUAUAGUGUUUAACGCUUACAUUCUCUUGCAGGUGGAGUCGUCUGAAUUGCUUGUUGGAUAUCCAAUAUGUUAUGUUGUUCAAAUGAAAAAUUACUCAUCUCCCUUUGGUUUGUUUUUAAUCUAAAUGCACACACUCUAUUGUAAUGUAAUAAUAGACAAAUGAGCGACCAACUUCUGAUUUUGAUGCUUCAAAUUUCAUCUGCUAUCAUUCGGUCUAAACAUACGCAUAACUCAUAAGUUAUGAGAUAGGAAGGUGUUCUUCAAAUUUCACGGACCUGAUAUGAGGGGCACUAAUCUUUUUAUAUGCAUGCAACAAAUUAAUGUAUCCAUGUGGUGUAACCAAACAAUGGAAAAUUAGCCAUGUAUUAAAUCCCAGCUGUAA
Molecule: long non-coding RNA, 4473 nt
Filed under: Zea mays
Lineage: Eukaryota; Viridiplantae; Streptophyta; Magnoliopsida; Poales; Poaceae
Description: long non-coding RNA (ZMAY_LNC004766)
Source: RNAcentral